UGACCGCUCCAAAAAGCCAAAACCCGCCUCGCCGUCGUCGCCAAACGCCUCCAUAACCACCAUAAAGAAGAGAAAUCUCUCUCUCUCUCUCUCUCCGAUUCGGUCCAUCUCUCAACAGGUUUCGCCUCUGUUCAUCGUCACUGACGUCCGCCGAGAAAAGCGGGCCAUAGACAAUGGAAGGAGCGAGCGAAAGAGAGCGCGAGUUCACUCUCGUUGCUAGGAAGCCAUGCUUCGGCCUCCCGACGGCUUGCCCUCAUUGCUUGCCCGUCUUCAUCUACCUCAAGCUCGCGAAGAUUCCCUUCCGCUUGGACUUCAAUCUGACCUUCCCCGAUUCUGAUCAAGUUCCCUAUGUCGAGUCCGGUGCUUAUGUGGCUUAUAAUAAUGAGAAAGGUGGCGUAAUUGAGAGUUUGAAAGAAGAUGGUAUUGUUGAUUUGGACUUGGAACUCCGAUCACUUCCUGAAUUUAUCUCAUCGAAGGCCAUGAUCAGCUCAUGGCUGGAAGAAGCAAUCAUCUAUGAGCUAUGGCUGGGGUCUGAUGGAACUUCUGCUCACAACAUAUAUUAUGCUGAUCUUCCGUGGCCAGUAGGGAAAUUGCUCUACUUAAAGCAGAUCCGCUCUGUUAAGCAGCGUUUGGGGAUCACUAAAGACAAUGCAGAACGAAGGGAAGCAGAGAUAUACAGGAGAGCAAACAUUGCAUAUGAAGCGUUGUCUAUUAUGUUAGGAGAAGAUGAUUUUUUCUUUGGAAGGCCAUCAAGUUUGGAUGCGAUUUUUCUGGGGCAUGCACAUUUUACUCUUCAAGCCUUACCCGAAAUAUCUUUGCUGCGAAACAGGCUUGUGGAGCAUGGCAAUCUAGUCCGGUAUGCUGAGAAACAUAAGUCAGAGUGUCUAGAAGCUGGUUCAUCAUCAUCCUCUGACAUGCAUUUUCCUCCAAGCUCUUCAGCAUCUGCUCCGAGACAAGGUCCUUCACAUUGGAGUUCCAAGCACAAGAGCAAGCCAAAGAGAGAGAAAACAGAGGAAGAGAAAACAUUCAGGAAAAGAGCCAAGUAUUUUCUAGCAGCGCAAUUUACUGCAGUUUUGCUUUUUCUUACCAUUAUGCGGAGAUCAGAUGAUAAUGAACUGGACCUUGAUGACGACGAUGGUGAUUUGGAUUAUGAAUGAACAGUACAUAUACUGACUCGUGUACGAGGAUCAUCAACAUCAUGUACUCUGUUGCUCACCAAGGAAACACUAGUGCUGAAGAAUAUAUUCUCGAAGUAGCAAAGAGGGUCACCUUCGAUCCUUGGUAUAGAAAGAUAUUCUCUUUGUAACUUCAGGUUUUGGGGGCAGUUGUGACAGGUUCCGGUCUAUUGUAGUUCUGGGUCGUUGGACGAUAAGGUGGUCCUAUUCCUGGAGAUGAUCACUGCACUGGAGAACUCUGCCUCCCCUCUGGUUUGAGGUUGGUGCGCUUCAGGCUGAAUCAUAUCUUCUCUGCCCGCGAUCUACUCAUUGAAUUGUCUGCACGCGCAUUUGUCUGUCAUUAGAAUUUGAUGAAUCAUGCUCCAUUGUCGGAUCGACUUUAAUGAAGCUAUUAAAGAACAGGCAACCUCUUGAAUGAGGGGACCAUUGGGAUUUCAAAUGGAAGUUGCCAAUGUCCGCUUGUGUAAAAAGAAUCACUCGAUAACGUGGAAGGCGUCGUAUACC
RNA transcript from Rhodamnia argentea, 1679 nucleotides. It is a transcript of the gene named mitochondrial outer membrane import complex protein METAXIN, with no coding region annotated. The record is from RefSeq and is a predicted model, not a curated record. Lineage: Eukaryota; Viridiplantae; Streptophyta; Magnoliopsida; Myrtales; Myrtaceae. The transcript has 7 exons.